GAUGAACGCUGGCGGCGUGCCUAAUACAUGCGAGUCGAGCGAACAGAUGAGGAGCUUGCUCCUCUGACGUUAGCGGCGGACGGGUGAGUAACACGUGGAUAACCUACCUAUAAGACUGGGAUAACUUCGGGAAACCGGAGCUAAUACCGGAUAAUAUAUUGAACCGCAUGGUUCAAUAGUGAAAGACGGUUUUGCUGUCACUUAUAGAUGGAUCCGCGCCGCAUUAGCUAGUUGGUAAGGUAACGGCUUACCAAGGCAACGAUGCGUAGCCGACCUGAGAGGGUGAUCGGCCACACUGGAACUGAGACACGGUCCAGACUCCUACGGGAGGCAGCAGUAGGGAAUCUUCCGCAAUGGGCGAAAGCCUGACGGAGCAACGCCGCGUGAGCGAUGAAGGUCUUCGGAUCGUAAAACUCUGUUAUUAGGGAAGAACAAAUGUGUAAGUAACUAUGCACGUCUUGACGGUACCUAAUCAGAAAGCCACGGCUAACUACGUG
Molecule: ribosomal RNA, 497 nt
Filed under: uncultured bacterium
Lineage: Bacteria
Description: partial 16S ribosomal RNA
Rfam family: Bacterial small subunit ribosomal RNA
Source: RNAcentral